CCUACGGGAGGCAGCAGUGGGGAAUAUUGCACAAUGGGGGAAACCCUGAUGCAGCAACGCCGCGUGAGUGAAGAAGUAUCUCGGUACGUAAAGCUCUAUCAGCAGGGAAGAAAAUGACGGUACCUGACCAAGAAGCCCCGGCUAACUACGUGCCAGCAGCCGCGGUAAU
RNAcentral lists this ribosomal RNA (169 nucleotides) under uncultured bacterium. Its description in RNAcentral is "partial 16S ribosomal RNA". It matches the Rfam family "Bacterial small subunit ribosomal RNA", at positions 338 to 524 of the family's 1533-position model. The record is from RNAcentral.